Long non-coding RNA from Oryza sativa Japonica Group (Japanese rice), 1884 nucleotides. RefSeq lists it as uncharacterized. The record is from RefSeq and is a predicted model, not a curated record. Lineage: Eukaryota; Viridiplantae; Streptophyta; Magnoliopsida; Poales; Poaceae.
CGCACGCUCCUCCUCCGCACCACCGUCGCGCAAUUCCUACGGAUCGCAUUCCGCAAUAAGCGCCACCCCAAUCCAAAACCUCGCCCCCCUCCACCCCACACCCGCCGCUGCUCCACGCCUCCACCACCGGUGCCCCCAUCGCCGCCAUCACCUCGCGCCGCGCCCCAUCCUUAUCGUCAUGACACGCCUCCACCGCCGGCGCUUCCAUCGCCGUUGUCUCCUUCCCGUCACACCCUCCUCGCCGCGACAUGUCUCCACCACCGGCGCCCCCAUCGUCGUCGUCUCCUCCCCGACUCCCGGUCUCCAACUCUCCAUCACGUCGGCGCGCCCUCGACUGAUCCCCGCCGCCGGAAUCCCUGCCUCGGCACGCAAUCGACCGAUCCCCGCGGCGCCCUCAACCGAUUCCCGCCGCCGGAAGCCCUCCCAUCGCGCCUCACGGUCUCCAUCACGCCGGCUCGCCCUCGACAGAUCCUAGCCGCCGCCCGCUGCCCCUCCCCGGAAUUGAAUGGCACAGAACAAAAACACGAGCCCUCUGCGGCGAUGGAUUGGGAGCAGGUAGUGCCGUAGUGGCAAGGCUGGCGGCGUUGGUGCCCGGCGACAGCCACGGUAGACGGAACGCUACUUGAUCUGACAAGAGUGGCGUGACCAGGCCAUCGCCGCCGCUUAUGCAUGCCACCCCGCCUCCUGUCACCCCUACUGUGAACCUGCGAUCAAGCCUCCGCCGGCGGGCACCCAAGGCUGUCGCCUACAGUGCGACUUCGCCAUCCCUGCCUGCGCAUGCCCUAAGCCGCUGCUUACAGCGCGACUUCACUGCCGCCGCCUGCACGAGCCCCGCCGACGCCCGACCUGCAAUACAACCUCCGUUCCCAAGGCCAGGAGCAGGGGGCAGCACCGAAGGUAGACGGCACCAUCAGCUACCCUGUUAGAGGCUAGAGUAUUCUGUGCCAACGUCCUGUCAUCCUUCUUGCGUGCCCUUGACAAGCAGGGCAGAAGAUUCAACAUCUGAACCCCAAAAGGAGUCCACGUUUCUGUUCAUGAUGCCAACGCCGCCUCCCAUCCCUGCCAUAUGAGAUCAAUCUACCUGCAAGCUAUUUCUUUCCUUUUAGGAAGAAGUAAUGUGGCUACUCUCUCGGCUCUCGGAGAUCUUCUGCCUAGCAACAUAUGCGUUGAAAAAAGGAUGGUGAUCAGGAAAGAGGCAUUUUUUUCUAACUGAAAGCGCUUCGCUUCGACCAAUAUUGUUACUAAACAUGCUAGAGUUCAAGCUCCAGGAGAAGGUCACAUUUAGGCAAGUUCUACAGUCUUUCAGGUUGUGUGCAAUGGUCAAUGAUGUGCAAAUUGCAAUGCUGCAGAAUGAGAGCUGAGCCACACAGUCCAUGUGCCAUGCUUUUCUUAUCCACUUUAGUUUCAUGCAACCAUGCUGUUUCCAACCCCUGCUGAAAUGCUGAACAUAAGGAUGAAUAAUCUAAUUUUAUGAGGAAAAACAUCUCUGGAAGUGCCUGCUUUGAUACCUGAUACAAGAUGUACUAGGGAGUUACAGAACAGGUAGGAAUUGUAAGAAUGUCAUGUGCAUACUAGGGAGUUACUGUUGCAAAAUUAAUUGAGGUUAACUAUUGACUUAUUAUCAAGCAUACAUGCAUUAAAAACAUAAUCAAGCAUAUAUGCAUUAAAAACAUAUUAUCUUUCUCUUCCAUGGACCAUGGUGUAUGGUACUAUGGUUCCAAGGUUUAACAGGUUACCAAUAUGUGUUCUUUGCCACUGCUGGAUAUCAGGAUCAAAUUAAGUAGGUAUUUAUUCUACUAUAUGGUGGUGGAGGGUAAUUCUUCUAGGUCAACGGGUACUUUUCUCAUUUUCUGAAAACAACACGAUGAUCAUAUUUAGUGAUAA